AAAAAAUUGGUUUUGAUAUAUUUACAGUAGAAAAUUUACUAAAUAUCUUCAUGGACCAUGAUCUUUACUUAAUAUCCUAAUGAUUUUUAUAAUAUACCUGUGCUACUUAUGACUGGUUUUGUGGUCCAGGGUCACAAACUUGCCAAUUCAAGUCUCCUAUACCUCCACUAAUCGAGGAUGAAUAUAUCAACUAUAGGCAUACACCAGUCCUACACUUGAAAUGAAGGAAACAACAUGUCUGUGUGUGAUUUUGAGUGUAUACCUACAUGUGACCACAGACGGCUAUUCUACUGAACACUACUGAUGCAUUCUACACAUUUCACUUUUUUUCCUUUUCUUAAAUAUUUUUGUUAAUUUAUGAAUCAGAAUGUGUCUGUCUCCCUCGACGAAAAACAACAACAACAACAGCAAAACAAACAAAGGUAGCAUCUGUUACCAAAACCCUUAAGACUGUACUUAGCGUGCAGCAUCUUUUUAUGUACUAAAUAUGUAAACAUUUUUGUUUUCAAGUGCCAUAGCUAGUGUGAAGUGAAGCUGAAUGGCAUUACGGGGUAGAUGCUUUACUGUAUAAGUUGUUUACUUGAGAAGCAAUCAAAAAGUGGAAUUCAGAUGCAAGUGUGAAUAUUCAAACAACCAACUGUUUGUUGUUCAUGGAGAACGGGCUCUGAUUGACAGAACUUUAGCGCAUGUCCACAAUACAAGUAAAGCACAUGUAGCAAGGGAGGGUGGGGGCUUCUGUUAACUUGCCAACAGUCUGAGUGUGUGUAUGUGUGUUGUAUGUGCUGUGUAUGUGAGUUGGGCUUUAAGACAGUAUAAGUGAAUGGUGAAUAGCACUUUGUGUGAUGGACUGAAUAUGUGCGCAUGUGCUUGUUUGAGUCGGGGAGGGGUUGAGUUUGAUGUGCGAGCAUUGUGAAAUGGACAUGUAAAGGUACUGAUUAAUCGAGACCUUAAAGUGUCUCCUCCAUGUUGUAUAUACUAAGCGAAGGACUUAAGUGAUUUUUGUUAAAUUCUAUAUUUUAUGGCUUUUGUAGACAUUUCUUUGUGGGAUAAAAAAAAAUAAAGAAAAUUUUAU
Long non-coding RNA from Cyprinus carpio carpio, 1072 nucleotides. The record is from Ensembl. Lineage: Eukaryota; Metazoa; Chordata; Actinopteri; Cypriniformes; Cyprinidae.